RNAcentral lists this ribosomal RNA (485 nucleotides) under Pseudomonas sp. RNAcentral describes it as "bacterial SSU rRNA". The record is from RNAcentral. Lineage: Bacteria; Pseudomonadati; Pseudomonadota; Gammaproteobacteria; Pseudomonadales; Pseudomonadaceae.
CGCAUAMGUCCUACGGGAGAAAGCGGGGGACCUUCGGGCCUUGCGCUAUCAGAUGAGCCUAGGUCGGAUUAGCUAGUUGGUGGGGUAAUGGCUCACCAAGGCGACGAUCCGUAACUGGUCUGAGAGGAUGAUCAGUCACACUGGAACUGAGACACGGUCCAGACUCCUACGGGAGGCAGCAGUGGGGAAUAUUGGACAAUGGGCGAAAGCCUGAUCCAGCCAUGCCGCGUGUGUGAAGAAGGUCUUCGGAUUGUAAAGCACUUUAAGUUGGGAGGAAGGGYWGUARAUUAAUACUYUGCUGUUUUGACGUUACCGACAGAAUAAGCACCGGCUAACUCUGUGCCAGCAGCCGCGGUAAUACARAGGGUGCAAGCGUUAAUCGGAAUUACUGGGCGUAAAGCGCGCGUAGGUGGUUUGUUAAGUUGGAUGUGAAAUCCCCGGGCUCAACCUGGGAACUGCAUUCAAAACUGACRAGCUAGAGUAUG